AUUGUAGUGUGAGAGGCCGUCGUCUACUGGUGUAAAUCGGCGACAGGGAGGAAAAUACUGUUUAAAAUCGAUUUUUACAUCUUCAAGGGAAAAUCGACUUUAUCGUGAACUAUUUGUCCGGUAAUUUUGCACACAAACUGUCGUUUACAGACAGGCAUUGUAGCAUCAGGAGUAUCUGCGGAAUCCGUGUAGCACAGAAUCCUGGGACAUAAAAGAUCAUCGGACUAUGCAACAGUGAGCAGCACCUGACCCCUUUCAACUCUUUUUUUCCAGUGGCUCCAGGUAAGGGUUUGGCUCCAAUCGUAGGUAAAUCGGACGCUUUAUUUUUACAUCCUAGCCUGUUGUUUGGGGACUGGCUACCUAAUGCUCUUCAGGAACGGCUUGGCCUAUUUCGUAUGCAUGGCUACAUUCUUACCGGAGAUAAUUAGUCCGAGGUUUUGUUGUUUUAUUCUUAGAUAGCACCCGAUUAAGCCAUUUGUUUUCCUGUAUCACUUGUU
Long non-coding RNA from Clupea harengus (Atlantic herring), 497 nucleotides. The record is from Ensembl. Lineage: Eukaryota; Metazoa; Chordata; Actinopteri; Clupeiformes; Clupeidae.